Molecule: ribosomal RNA, 1167 nt
Filed under: uncultured Flavobacteriaceae bacterium
Lineage: Bacteria; Pseudomonadati; Bacteroidota; Flavobacteriia; Flavobacteriales; Flavobacteriaceae
Description: bacterial SSU rRNA
Rfam family: Bacterial small subunit ribosomal RNA
Source: RNAcentral
UAUUGGACAAUGGAGGCAACUCUGAUCCAGCGAUGCCGCGUGAAGGAAGACGGCCCUAUGGGUUGUAAACUUCUUUUAUACAGGAAGAAACCUUUCCACGUGUGGAAAGCUGACGGUACUGUAAGAAUAAGGAUCGGCUAACUCCGUGCCAGCAGCCGCGGUAAUGCGGAGGAUCCAAGCGUUAUCCGGAAUUAUUGGGUUUAAAGGGUCCGCAGGCUGUUUGUUAAGUCAGGGGUGAAAUCCUACCGCUCAACGGUAGAACUGCCUUUGAUACUGGCAAACUUGAGUUAUUGUGAAGUAGUUAGAAUGUGUAGUGUAGCGGUGAAAUGCAUAGAUAUUACACAGAAUACCGAUUGCGAAAGCAGAUUACUAACAAUAUACUGACGCUGAGGGACGAAAGCGUGGGUAGCGAACAGGAUUAGAUACCCUGGUAGUCCACGCCGUAAACGAUGGUCACUAGCUGUUCGAUGUACAUUGGUACGUUGAGUGGCUAAGCGAAAGUGAUAAGUGACCCACCUGGGGAGUACGCUCGCAAGAGUGAAACUCAAAGGAAUUGACGGGGGCCCGCACAAGCGGUGGAGCAUGUGGUUUAAUUCGAUGAUACGCGAGGAACCUUACCAGGACUUAAAUGUAAGUUGCAUGAUUCAGAAAUGAAUCUUUCUUCGGACUACUUACAAGGUGCUGCAUGGUUGUCGUCAGCUCGUGCCGUGAGGUGUCAGGUUAAGUCCUAUAACGAGCGCAACCCCUAUCGUUAGUUGCCAUCAAGUAAAGUUGGGAACUCUAGCGAAACUGCCGGUGCAAACCGAGAGGAAGGUGGGGAUGACGUCAAAUCAUCACGGCCCUUACGUUCUGGGCUACACACGUGCUACAAUGGUCGGUACAGAAAGCAGCCACUAUGCGAAUAGGAGCUAAUCUUUAAAACCGAUCUCAGUUCGGAUCGCAGUCUGCAACUCGACUGCGUGAAGCUGGAAUCGCUAGUAAUCGGAUAUCAGCCAUGAUCCGGUGAAUACGUUCCCGGGCCUUGUACACACCGCCCGUCAAGCCAUGGAAGCUGGGGGUACCUAAAGUCGGUGACCGAAAGGAGCUGCCUAGGGUAAAACUAGUGACUGGGGCUAAGUCGUAACAAGGUAGCCGUAUCGGAAGGUGCGGCUGGAAUACCUCCUUUCU